GACGAACGCUGGCGGCGUGCUUAACACAUGCAAGUCGAGCGGUAAGGCCCUUUCGGGGGUACACGAGCGGCGAACGGGUGAGUAACACGUGGGUGACCUGCCCUCAGCUCUGGGAUAAGCCUGGGAAACCGGGUCUAAUACUGGAUAUGGCUCCAUGACGCAUGUUGUGGGGUGGAAAGCCUUGUGCGGCUGAGGAUGGGCCCGCGGCCUAUCAGCUUGUUGGUGGGGUGANGGCCUACCAAGGCGACGACGGGUAGCCGGCCUGAGAGGGCGACCGGCCACACUGGGACUGAGACACGGCCCAGACUCCUACGGGAGGCAGCAGUGGGGAAUCUUGCGCAAUGGGCGAAAGCCUGACGCAGCGACGCCGCGUGAGGGAUGACGGCCUGG
This 390-nucleotide ribosomal RNA is filed under the name uncultured bacterium. RNAcentral's name for it is "bacterial SSU rRNA". It matches the Rfam family "Bacterial small subunit ribosomal RNA", at positions 28 to 419 of the family's 1533-position model. The record is from RNAcentral.